Molecule: microRNA, 22 nt
Filed under: Tribolium castaneum (red flour beetle)
Lineage: Eukaryota; Metazoa; Arthropoda; Insecta; Coleoptera; Tenebrionidae
Description: tca-miR-11641-5p
Source: miRBase by way of RNAcentral
UAAAUCUUUGAUCAAAGUGGCC